GAUGAAGAACGCAGCGAAAUGCGAUAAGUAAUGUGAAUUGCAGAAUUCAGUGAAUCAUCGAAUCUUUGGACGCAUCUUGCGCUCCUUGGUAUUCCGGGGGGCAUGCCUGUCCGAGCGUCAUUGCUGCCCUCAAGCACGGCUUGUGUGUUGGGCCUCCGUCCUCCUCCCGGGGGACGGGCCCGAAAGGCAGCGGCGGCACCGCGUCCGGUCCUCGAGCGUAUGGGGCUUCGUCACCCGCUCUUGUAGGCCCGGCCGGCGCUUGCCGACACAUCAAUCUUUUUUCCAGGUUGACCUCGGAUCAGGUAGGGAUACCCGCUGAACUUAAGCAUAUCAAUAAGCGGAGGA
RNAcentral lists this unclassified non-coding RNA (345 nucleotides) under soil metagenome. RNAcentral's name for it is "partial contains 5.8S ribosomal RNA, internal transcribed spacer 2, and large subunit ribosomal RNA". The stretch from base 1 to 120 matches the Rfam family "5.8S ribosomal RNA", at positions 35 to 154 of the family's 154-position model. The record is from RNAcentral.